AAAACAGCAUCAAACAGGUUAAUGGCUUUACUCAAAGUCAGAUCAACAGUGGGAGCAGAGGUCGUGCAGAACCCAAAUGUCAGCCUUCAGCUUGCACCUACGGGGUCACACGAGAGACACCGGAGACGAAGCCACCUUUGGCUGUACCCAAGAGGGAAAAGAAGAAAAAUAACAACUAGAAGAGGAGCCCAUGACACAUCCUACUCUGUUUUGAAAGUGAGCCAAGUAAAUGAGGAGGAUUAGGACCAAAGGAGCACCUCAGACUCAGGGGUCAGAGUCCAAUCCCAGCUCCCAAGUCACACUGAGAAGCCAGUCACCCGAGUUGAUGGGAAAAGACACAGCCCACUGCUCUAGCUCUCAUCAGUCCACCACACUGAUAUCUCUCUUUUCUUAAACAUCUUCUGUCUCCAGCCUGAUACAUGUCAGCAGAU
This 431-nucleotide long non-coding RNA is filed under the name Fukomys damarensis (Damara mole-rat). Its description in RNAcentral is "lncRNA (ENSFDAG00000033168.1)". Lineage: Eukaryota; Metazoa; Chordata; Mammalia; Rodentia; Bathyergidae. The record is from RNAcentral.